UUUGUAUGUGUAGUCUGAUGCUGUGUGAGAUGAGUCAUCUGGCUGAAGGUUUUCCUACAUUCCUUACAUUUGUAAGGUUUCUCACCAGUGUGAAUUCUCUCAUGCUGGGUAAGGUGUGCCCUCUGGUUGAAGGUUUUACUACAUUCAUUACAUUUAUAGGGUCUCUCUCCCGUGUGGAUUCUUUGAUGCUGAAUGAGAGUUGAUCGACGAGUGAAGUAUUUCCCACAGUCUAAACACUGAUUGCAUUUCUUUCGUGUAUGAUUUCUCUUACGGAGAGUAAGCUGCGUAUUGUGGCAGUAUACAUUUCCACAUUCCUUACAUACGUUUCUUGUACAUUUUAUCACUGUGUCAAACUGAGAUAAUACUUCAUUAAUAGCCCUCUUUGCAGAUAACUCCUUAAUCUCUGCACCUGGCACAUCUGAAAGGGGAAAAAAAUCAAUGAACAGCUGUAAAUUAAACUAUGUAAUAUACCUGUCUUUUAUCUUUUCAAUCCCACUUUAGGCACCUAAUCAAGAAACUAAGAUACCAGUUUUUAAGGUUAUAUUGAUAAGAAUUCCUAUUGAAAUAGGCUUUAUAUUG
Molecule: small RNA, 579 nt
Filed under: Pongo abelii (Sumatran orangutan)
Lineage: Eukaryota; Metazoa; Chordata; Mammalia; Primates; Hominidae
Description: sense intronic
Source: RNAcentral